RNAcentral lists this ribosomal RNA (231 nucleotides) under uncultured bacterium. RNAcentral's name for it is "partial 16S ribosomal RNA". It matches the Rfam family "Bacterial small subunit ribosomal RNA", at positions 118 to 348 of the family's 1533-position model. The record is from RNAcentral.
UGAGGAACCUAUCCCAGUCUCUGGAAUAACAGGUGGAAACACCUGCUAAUACCGGAUACCGCUGGACCAUCGCAUGGUGGACCAACGAAAGAUUUAUCGGAUUGGGAGGGCCUCGCGGCCUAUCAGCUUGUUGGUGAGGUAACGGCUCACCAAGGCGUCGACGGGUAGCUGGUCUGAGAGGAUGAUCAGCCACACUGGGACUGAGACACGGCCCAGACUCCGUAGGGACGG